AGGGAAGGACCAUAGCUGAGUGGUAGGGAAUCUGCUUUGCAUGCAGAUGGGCCCAGGUUCAAUCCCUAACGUCCCUA
Non-coding RNA from Podarcis lilfordi (Lilford's wall lizard), 77 nucleotides. NCBI's taxonomy places the organism in Eukaryota, Metazoa, Chordata, Lepidosauria, Squamata, Lacertidae. The record is from the annotation of a GenBank genome assembly.